This 248-nucleotide ribosomal RNA is filed under the name uncultured bacterium. RNAcentral describes it as "partial 16S ribosomal RNA". It matches the Rfam family "Bacterial small subunit ribosomal RNA", at positions 523 to 769 of the family's 1533-position model. The record is from RNAcentral.
AUACGAAGGGGGCGUAGCGUUGCUCGGAAUUACUGGGCGUAAAGGGCGCGUAGGCGGACAUUUAAGUCAGGGGUGAAAUCCCAGAGCUCAACUCUGGAACUGCCUUUGAUACUGGGUGUCUUGAGUGUGAGAGAGGUAUGUGGAACUCCGAGUGUAGAGGUGAAAUUCGUAGAUAUUCGGAAGAACACCAGUGGCGAAGGCGACAUACUGGCUCAUUACUGACGCUGAGGCGCGAAAGCGUGGGGAGC